Molecule: ribosomal RNA, 387 nt
Filed under: Triticum aestivum (bread wheat)
Lineage: Eukaryota; Viridiplantae; Streptophyta; Magnoliopsida; Poales; Poaceae
Description: partial small subunit ribosomal RNA
Source: RNAcentral
AUGAAUUGCUUAGCGUGGAACUGUCGGGGUGUGGCCAAUGACCCGACAGUUCGAGAUUUGGUUGGCUUGGUCAGGGCCGCCAAUGCUAAGUUGAUCUUUUUGUGUGAAACUCACCAGAAAGCUAAUAAAGUUUGUCGUCUUCAUGGGAGACUAGGAUUAGGAGGUUUUGCUGGUUAUGACAGUAAAUGCCUUAGUGGUGGCUUGGCACUUUUCUGGUGUGAUCAAAUUCAUGUCGAUAUUAAAGAAAUAAAGGAGAUAUAUAUUGAUGCUUAUAUUCGGUUGGCUGAUGAUGCGCCUUUAUGGCGUCUGACUUGUGUGUAUGGCGAACUCCGAGUUGAGAACCGACAUCUUAUGUGGACUGCGCUGCAAAAUCUGAAAGCUCAAUAG